This is a long non-coding RNA of Bos indicus x Bos taurus (hybrid cattle), 465 nucleotides long. The record is from Ensembl. Lineage: Eukaryota; Metazoa; Chordata; Mammalia; Artiodactyla; Bovidae.
CCGCCCGUAAACAAGGGCUCACAAUGCCCGUCUUUCCUCCGAGAGCCGGCUCCUCUCCUGGCCUGGUCCCCUGGGUCCGCGGCCUGCCCUGUCCCUCGUCCUCGCCCGAGUCUGUCACUGAAAGGCCAGCACUGCUUCCUCAGGGAAAAGCCCGGUCUUUUGCAGAUUCUUUACCAGCUGAGCCACAAGGGAAGCCCUUUACCUCUCAGUAAUUCAAGUCUGGAUCUUUCGGGGAAAUACUGCUCCAAGAGUGGAACACGGACCACCGUUGGUCAGCAAACAACUCGUUCCUGACCCAGGACAAGGUCAGAAAUGGAGAGGAAAUGUUUAGAAACCUUCAGAACUGUUUAACAGGGUGAUUUUAUGUGAGUUGCAUCUAAUACGAAUAAUACAAGUUUGAACUUGUAUACGUUCAUUUUGUGGUUCAUUUUUCUAGUGAUCAAAUUGUCUUAUAUUGUAUGUAAG